RNAcentral lists this ribosomal RNA (253 nucleotides) under uncultured bacterium. Its description in RNAcentral is "partial 16S ribosomal RNA". It matches the Rfam family "Bacterial small subunit ribosomal RNA", at positions 524 to 776 of the family's 1533-position model. The record is from RNAcentral.
UACAGAGGUGGCGAGCGUUGUUCGGAUUUACUGGGCGUAAAGGGUGCGUAGGUGGUCGCUUAUGUCGGGUGUGAAAUCCCACGGCUCAACCGUGGAAUGGCAUUCGAAACUGGGCGGCUAGAGUGCAGGAGGGGAGAGCGGAAUUCUUGGUGUAGCGGUGAAAUGCGUUGAUAUCAAGAAGAACACCGGUGGCGAAGGCGGCUCUCUGGAAUGCUACUGACACUGAGGCACGAAAGCUGGGGGAGCAAACAGG